This 305-nucleotide ribosomal RNA is filed under the name uncultured bacterium. Its description in RNAcentral is "bacterial SSU rRNA". It matches the Rfam family "Bacterial small subunit ribosomal RNA", at positions 333 to 654 of the family's 1533-position model. The record is from RNAcentral.
AACAUCCUACGGGGCGCAGCAGUGGGGAAUAUUGCACAAUGGGGGAAACCCUGAUGCAGCGACGCCGCGUGAGCGAGGAAGUAUUUCGGUAUGUAAAGCUCUAUCAGCAGGGACGAAAAAAGACGGUACCUGACUAAGAAGCCCCGGCUAACUACGUGCCAGCAGCCGCGGUAAUACGUAGGGGGCAAGCGUUAUCCGGAUUUACUGGGUGUAAAGGGAGCGUAGGUGGCAGGGCAAGUCAGAUGUGAAAACCCGGGGCUCAACUCCGGGAGUGCAUUUGAAACUGUCCAGCUAGAGUGCAGGAG